CUUGUGACUGUGUCUGAGUUGGGUUUUUGGUUUCAUCAUCCUUAGGUUGCUUAUACCAAUAUAAAGCUGGAAUGACCUAAAUGCCCACACCUGGGAGUCUGCUUAAUUAGAUAUGCCAGGAGCGGAAAGUUCGAUCACUAAGGUGUGCGAAUUUUCCAGGUGGGUCUGACAAGGGCUUAGAGAAGCUGUCACCUGGCUUGCUCGAUUGUGCUGGGGAGGAGAUAUUUGGAUUUGUGCCUAUCGGAAGCAAAGGAACACCCAGAAGAGAAACACCUGGCCAGGAAUUGUUAAAAAGAAAAUCCCAAUUCUACCUUUGCU
Non-coding RNA from Microcebus murinus (gray mouse lemur), 318 nucleotides. The record is from RefSeq and is a predicted model, not a curated record. Lineage: Eukaryota; Metazoa; Chordata; Mammalia; Primates; Cheirogaleidae.